GGGUCAGUAGGUUGGUCGUGCCACCGGUACGUACUGGUCUCACUGAUUCCUCCUUCCUGAAGAACCGUAAUGCCAUUAAUUUGGUGUUGCGGGGAAACAGGACUGUUACCUUGGAAAAAUUAGAGUGUUUAAAGCAAGCUAACGCUUGAAUACAUUAGCAUGGAAUAAUGAAAUAGGACGAUCGAUCCUAUUUUGUUGGUUUCUAGGAUUGACGUA
RNAcentral lists this ribosomal RNA (216 nucleotides) under Glomeromycotina sp. RNAcentral's name for it is "partial small subunit ribosomal RNA". The stretch from base 40 to 216 matches the Rfam family "Eukaryotic small subunit ribosomal RNA", at positions 686 to 864 of the family's 1831-position model. The record is from RNAcentral. Lineage: Eukaryota; Fungi; Glomeromycota.